GAAAUGCGAUAAGUAGUGUGAAUUGCAGAAUUCAGUGAAUCAUCGAAUCUUUGAACGCACAUUGCGCCCCUUGGUAUUCCAUGGGGCAUGCCUGUUCGAGCGUCAUUUACACCCUCAAGCUCUGCUUGGUGUUGGGUGUUUGUCCCGUCUCCGCGCGUGGACUCGCCCCAAAGUGAUUGGCAGCCGGCGUACUGGUCCCGGAGCGCAGCACAUGUCGCGCAAACGAGUGCCUUGGUACGGCGGCGUCCAUAAGCCCCUCUCUCACGCUCUUGACCUCGGAUCAGGUAGGGAUACCCGCUGAACUUAAGC
This 309-nucleotide unclassified non-coding RNA is filed under the name plant metagenome. RNAcentral's name for it is "partial contains 5.8S ribosomal RNA, internal transcribed spacer 2, and large subunit ribosomal RNA". The stretch from base 1 to 105 matches the Rfam family "5.8S ribosomal RNA", at positions 50 to 154 of the family's 154-position model. The record is from RNAcentral.